RNAcentral lists this ribosomal RNA (704 nucleotides) under uncultured fungus. RNAcentral's name for it is "SSU rRNA". It matches the Rfam family "Eukaryotic small subunit ribosomal RNA", at positions 390 to 1095 of the family's 1831-position model. The record is from RNAcentral. Lineage: Eukaryota; Fungi.
GGGAGCCUGAGAAACGGCUACCACAUCCAAGGAAGGCAGCAGGCGCGCAAAUUACCCAAUCCCGAUACGGGGAGGUAGUGACAAUAAAUACUGAUACAGGGCUCUUCUGAGUCUUGUAAUUGGAAUGAGUACAAUUUAAAUCCCUUAACGAGGAACAAUUGGAGGGCAAGUCUGGUGCCAGCAGCCGCGGUAAUUCCAGCUCCAAUAGCGUAUANNNAAGUUGUUGCAGUUAAAAAGCUCGUAGUUGAAUUUCGGGGUUAGUAGGUUGGUCAUGCCUCUGGUAUGUACUGAUCUCACUGAUUCCUCCUUCCUUAUGAACCGUAAUGCCAUUAAUUUGGUGUUGCGGGGAAUUUGGACUGUUACUUUGAAAAAAUUAGAGUGUUUAAAGCAGGCUAACGCUUGAAUACAUUAGCAUGGAAUAAUGAAAUAGGACGUUCGAUCUUAUUUUGUUGGUUUCUAGGAUUGACGUAAUGAUUAAUAGGGAUAGUUGGGGGCAUUAGUAUUCAAUUGUCAGAGGUGAAAUUCUUGGAUUUAUUGAAGACUAACUACUGCGAAAGCAUUUGCCAAGGAUGUUUUCAUUAAUCAAGAACGAAAGUUAGGGGAUCGAAGACGAUCAGAUACCGUCGUAGUCUUAACCAUAAACUAUGCCGACUAGGGAUCGGAUGAUGUUAAUUUUUUAAUGACUCAUUCGGCGCCUUACGGGA